Molecule: long non-coding RNA, 1147 nt
Organism: Glycine soja
Lineage: Eukaryota; Viridiplantae; Streptophyta; Magnoliopsida; Fabales; Fabaceae
Exons: 2
Source: RefSeq, a predicted model, not a curated record
GCUCUCGUGUACUAUCUUUCCUGAUUUGAAUCCCUUCCAGCUAGGAGUUCAUGUGAUGUGUAUAUUUUGUAUGGGCAUGUUAUUGGUGUCGUUUAGAUGUGUCUAUUGUUUAAUAUAAUCCACGGCUUGCCUCCUCUCUUACCUUGCACAUUUUAAAUUUUUGCAUUCAGGUAGGAAUGGAGACUGAAGGUUUGUCUUCUCAAUAAAAUGAGGUUUGUCUUCUCAAUAAAAUUAAACAUCACAUGACUAUAUUUUUGUAUAUCUGAUUAUCUUUUAUCAGUGAAAGUAUUAAUAUAACGAGACAAUUGUGGAAUGUCAAGGAACAAAGAAAAUGAGAAGAAUGAGGAUGUGAGUGUGACCACGGUAAUUAAUUGUAAGAUUCCAGCAGCAACUGUUGGGGUGUUGUAUUCAUAAAUUGUGCUGCUGGUAGCACAGUGAGUGACAGUACCUUUGAUGAAUGAAGCACGAUUCAACGUUUUAGAUAUAACUUCAGUCUUCAUCUGAAUAAGUUGUAUUCAAAUAAGGCCCAGUGGAUAAUAAGCUUUUCCCUCCCUCUCAGAAUCGUUUCAAAUCCUGAAUCCUGAAUCCUUGCCAAUUCUCUUCUUCACAGAUAUCUGAAUAUAUCUCAAGUCUUUGGAUUUUGCUUCCUAAGCAGAUAUGAAAGGAACAGUGUUGUCCAUGUUGUUAAGUUUUAAGUUUGUGGUUUUUGUCCUUGAAUCCUUAGCAGAUGUGAAAGUAUCCUGCUUAUAACUGUUGCACCAUGAUUCAGCAGCCUCUUGUUCCAUCAUCUGGGUUGAUGCCUGCGAGUGACGUUCCUGUUCGUGCAAAAUGCAAAGGAGGCUCUUUUACUUUGGCAGGAAGUUUUGAAUCAAUGGAUGGUAAAUGUUGGAGCUAAAACUGAACUGAUAGUUAAUAUCAACCAGUGGUACAUGAAGGAGUUGAUUCUAUAUACAGAGAGGAGUUGAUGAUUGUAGUUAGGCAUUGAUAGCACACAACAUGUGGUGUCGUUUUAUCAACUCAAUACAUGCAAAAUUUAGUGAUUUUUUCUCACUGCAAAUUUUAUGGUCUGUUCUUUAGUAUUUGAUCAAACAUGAAGCAAAUAAAUAAAAUGUCAUUGCAAAUAAAGUUUUGAUCGACUUUCUAUGUA